Diachasmimorpha longicaudata is the source of this 1433-nucleotide long non-coding RNA. RefSeq lists it as uncharacterized. Lineage: Eukaryota; Metazoa; Arthropoda; Insecta; Hymenoptera; Braconidae. The transcript is spliced from 2 exons. The record is from RefSeq and is a predicted model, not a curated record.
UAUAGAGACUUGUUUUCAAACGAGAUGGACAGUGGAGAGACAGACAGGCCGACAGGGCCAGACGAGAAGGAACGUUAUAAGACGGGUUAACCAUCGCGAGCUUUUUUACGCGUCUGCUGAACAAUUCACAUUUCUUUUUUCCAACCUACUCUUUCUUAUUCUUUUCCUCCGGUUUAGCCGACGGUUCCCCGGAGGUGGGCCCCAACAGCGGGCCCAGCUACGACCCCCCUCGUGAAGAGGAAGAGAAACAAGAAAGGACGAGGCCCAAGAGGCCCUUGCAAGAGCGUGCCUUCCCCACCUACUGGACCCAGCCCAUUAAUCAUCGGGGUAAUUCCAUAGAUGGCUCUUGGCUGCUCUAAGGAGUGAGCGAUGCAUGCCAAACUUACCUCGUGCUUCGCUUUUUAAAACCAACUUGGAUACGUCCUAAAGCAAAACUACGACUCAUUUCCUUCUCCAAUGUUGUUGAGAAUAUAUUCACGAUACCGGGGGAAUCGUAAUAAAGAAAGAGAGAGAGGGAACUACGAGAGGUGGAUGACGCCUGUCGGAAUGUACAAAAAACGUCUUCGCGACUCGUCGCCGAAGAUGUCCUGGGCCACCGGCCAUUCGAACGAUGUCAGGAGUUUAAUCAAUGCAUUUAGCCGAAUUCCUGUCUGGACAAAAUAAAAGUCUACGCAGGCGCGAUUGCGAGGAAAAAAACCGAUUCCUCUCCAUCAUUGGGUUAAGGAGACGACUCCGUUGGGGUUUUUGAGUAUUCCAACAAGCGGAUCCAGAGAUGCUGCACCCUUACUCCUGUCUUCAACAUGUUCAUGGACGUUAUCGUGGCUUCUCGGAGGAAAACAAAGAGAACUGACUUCUGUUGUCCGGUCAGUUCAUUUUUGAAGAUGAAAGGAGCAACAAGGAAUUGGUCAGAGGGUGGAAUUUUACUGGGACCUCAGGCCCUUUGCCUUCUACGAACAGCUGAUCUUGUAGGUAUGCAUAAGAUGAUCGAUUUAUCUGUUGAUGUUCACAAGUUCAAUAGCACGUGUUGGUCUAUGAGUCGUUAUCAGGUGUUUAAUGACUUCAUCUAGUUGCAUUUAUGUUUCGACAACAUAAAAGUGUAUACAGACGUGAUUGCAAGGAACAGAACCGAUUCCUCUUCAUCCCUGGGUGAGGAGACGACGCCGUUGGGGGUGUGAAAUAUAGCCUCAGUCUUCUACGAAUUGAUUUCUAUGAGUCUAUGGUUUCAAAAAUGUAUCAACAUAGAGAGAGAUGUUGGGACUAGACAUAAACAUAAGCCAUGAGGUCAUGUGGCAAAGGAACUGGGGAUCCUUUGUCAUGUUAUGACGAUUUUUCUUUUGGUCUCGUUGAUCACUUUCAGUCUCCUGAGGCAGGUCGUAGGGAACAGACAUUUCUUCCUCGUGCCAUUUUCAAUAAACUUAAAUUAACGUAUUGAA